GACGAACGCUGGCGGCGUGCCUAAUACAUGCAAGUCGAACGAACUCUGGUAUUGAUUGGUGCUUGCAUCAUGAUUUACAUUUGAGUGAGUGGCGAACUGGUGAGUAACACGAGGGAAACCUGCCCAGAAGCGGGGGAUAACACCUGGAAACAGAUGCUAAUACCGCAUAACAACUUGGACCGCAUGGUCCGAGCUUGAAAGAUGGCUUCGGCUAUCACUUUUGGAUGGUCCCGCGGCGUAUUAGCUAGAUGGUGGGGUAACGGCUCACCAUGGCAAUGAUACGUAGCCGACCUGAGAGGGUAAUCGGCCACAUUGGGACUGAGACACGGCCCAAACUCCUACGGGAGGCAGCAGUAGGGAAUCUUCCACAAUGGACGAAAGUCUGAUGGAGCAACGCCGCGUGAGUGAAGAAGGGUUUCGGCUCGUAAAACUCUGUUGUUAAAGAAGAACAUAUCUGAGAGUAACUGUUCAGGUAUUGACGGUAUUUAACCAGAAAGCCACGGCUAACUACGUGCCAGCAGCCGCGGUAAUACGUAGGUGGCAAGCGUUGUCCGGAUUUAUUGGGCGUAAAGCGAGCGCAGGCGGUUUUUUAAGUCUGAUGUGAAAGCCUUCGGCUCAACCGAAGAAGUGCAUCGGAAACUGGGAAACUUGAGUGCAGAAGAGGACAGUGGAACUCCAUGUGCAGCGGUGAAAUGCGUAGAUAUAUGGAAGAACACCAGUAGCGAAGGCGGCUGUCUGGUCUGUAACUGACGCUGAGGCUCGAAAGUAUGGGUAGCAAACAGGAUUAGAUACCCUGGUAGUCCAUACCGUAAACGAUGAAUGCUAAGUGUUGGAGGGUUUCCGCCCUUCAGUGCUGCAGCUAACGCAUUAAGCAUUCCGCCUGGGGAGUACGGCCGCAAGGCUGAAACUCAAAGGAAUUGACGGGGGCCCGCACAAGCGGUGGAGCAUGUGGUUUAAUUCGAAGCUACGCGAAGAACCUUACCAGGUCUUGACAUACUAUGCAAAUCUAAGAGAUUAGACGUUCCCUUCGGGGACAUGGAUACAGGUGGUGCAUGGUUGUCGUCAGCUCGUGUCGUGAGAUGUUGGGUUAAGUCCCGCAACGAGCGCAACCCUUAUUAUCAGUUGCCAGCAUUAAGUUGGGCACUCUGGUGAGACUGCCGGUGACAAACCGGAGGAAGGUGGGGAUGACGUCAAAUCAUCAUGCCCCUUAUGACCUGGGCUACACACGUGCUACAAUGGAUGGUACAACGAGUUGCGAACUCGCGAGAGUAAGCUAAUCUCUUAAAGCCAUUCUCAGUUCGGAUUGUAGGCUGCAACUCGCCUACAUGAAGUCGGAAUCGCUAGUAAUCGCGGAUCAGCAUGCCGCGGUGAAUACGUUCCCGGGCCUUGUACACACCGCCCGUCACACCAUGAGAGUUUGUAACACCCAAAGCCGGUGGGGUAACCUUUUAGGAACCAGCCGCCUAAGGUGGGACAGAUGAUUAGGGUG
Molecule: ribosomal RNA, 1489 nt
Filed under: Lactiplantibacillus plantarum
Lineage: Bacteria; Bacillati; Bacillota; Bacilli; Lactobacillales; Lactobacillaceae
Description: bacterial SSU rRNA
Rfam family: Bacterial small subunit ribosomal RNA
Source: RNAcentral